ACGGCAGCACGGAGAGCUUGCUCUCUGGUGGCGAGUGGCGAACGGGUGAGUAAUAUAUCGGAACGUGUCCAAUAAUGGGGGAUAACGAGUCGAAAGAUUCGCUAAUACCGCAUACGCCCUACGGGGGAAAGCAGGGGAUCGUAAGACCUUGCGUUAAUGGAGCGGCCGAUACCUGAUUAGCUUGUUGGUGAGGUAAAGGCUCACCAAGGCGACGAUCAGUAGCUGGUUUGAGAGAACGACCAGCCACACUGGAACUGAGACACGGUCCAGACUCCUACGGGAGGCAGCAGUGGGGAAUUUUGGACAAUGGGGGCAACCCUGAUCCAGCCAUUCCGCGUGAGUGAAGAAGGCCUUCGGGUUGUAAAGCUCUUUCGCAAGGGAAGAAAACUUAUGAUCGAAUAAAUCAUGAGGUUGACGGUACCUUGAUAAGAAGCACCGGCUAACUACGUGCCAGCAGCCGCGGUAAUACGUAGGGUGCGAGCGUUAAUCGGAAUUACUGGGCGUAAAGCGUGCGCAGGCGGUUUUGUAAGUCGGAUGUGAAAUCCCCGGGCUCAACCUGGGAACCGCGUUCGAAACUGCAAGGCUAGAGUGUGUCAGAGGGGGGUAGAAUUCCACGUGUAGCAGUGAAAUGCGUAGAGAUGUGGAGGAAUACCAAUGGCGAAGGCAGCCCCCUGGGAUAACACUGACGCUCAUGCACGAAAGCGUGGGGAGCAAACAGGAUUAGAUACCCUGGUAGUCCGCGCCCUAAACGAUGUCAACUAGUUGUUGGUAGAGUAAAAUCUAUGAGUAACGUAGCUAACGCGUGAAGUUGACCGCCUGGGGAGUACGGUCGCAAGAUUAAAA
Molecule: ribosomal RNA, 843 nt
Filed under: uncultured bacterium
Lineage: Bacteria
Description: bacterial SSU rRNA
Rfam family: Bacterial small subunit ribosomal RNA
Source: RNAcentral